This 325-nucleotide ribosomal RNA is filed under the name uncultured eukaryote. RNAcentral describes it as "partial 18S ribosomal RNA". It matches the Rfam family "Eukaryotic small subunit ribosomal RNA", at positions 1470 to 1796 of the family's 1831-position model. The record is from RNAcentral.
CCCUUAGAUGUCCUGGGCCGCACGCGCGCUACACUGAUGCAUUCAACGAGCCUAUCCUUGACCGACAGGUCCGGGUAAUCUUUGAAUCUGCAUCGUGACGGGGAUAGAUUAUUGCAAUUAUUAAUCUUCAACGAGGAAUGCCUAGUAGGCGCAAGUCAUCAGCUUGCGUCGAUUACGUCCCUGCCCUUUGUACACACCGCCCGUCGCUCCUACCGAUUGGGUGUGCUGGUGAAAUGUUCGGAUCGGCCGUUUGUCGCGGUUUCCGCGGCUCGUGGCUGAGAAGUUCAUUAAACCCUCCCACCUAGAGGAAGGAGAAGUCGUAACA